Unclassified non-coding RNA from Microcebus murinus (gray mouse lemur), 96 nucleotides. It matches the Rfam family "Y RNA". Rfam says of the family: Y RNAs are components of the Ro ribonucleoprotein particle (Ro RNP), in association with Ro60 and La proteins. The Y RNAs and Ro60 and La proteins are well conserved, but the function of the Ro RNP is not known. In humans the RNA component can be one of four small RNAs -- hY1, hY3, hY4 and hY5. The record is from Ensembl. Lineage: Eukaryota; Metazoa; Chordata; Mammalia; Primates; Cheirogaleidae.
GGCUGGUCUGAUGGUAGUGGGUUAUCAGAACUUAUUAACAUUAGUGUUACUAAAGUUAGUAUUAAACCCCCCACUGCUAAAUUUGACUGGCUAUAA